GCUGGUGUCUAUAGCGGAGGGGCCAUACCUGUUCCCAUCCCGAACACAGAAGUUAAGUCCUCCAGCGGCGAUGAUAAUGCAGUGGUGACACUGUGUGAAAGUAGCUCGGUGCCAGUU
Molecule: ribosomal RNA, 117 nt
Filed under: Planctomycetales bacterium
Lineage: Bacteria; Pseudomonadati; Planctomycetota; Planctomycetia; Planctomycetales
Source: RNAcentral